RNAcentral lists this ribosomal RNA (482 nucleotides) under uncultured bacterium. RNAcentral describes it as "bacterial SSU rRNA". It matches the Rfam family "Bacterial small subunit ribosomal RNA", at positions 29 to 506 of the family's 1533-position model. The record is from RNAcentral.
UUGAACGCUGGCGGAAUGCUUUACACAUGCAAGUCGAGCGGCAGCGCGGGGGCAACCCUGGCGGCGAGCGGCGAACGGGUGAGUAACAUAUCGGAACGUACCCUGUCGUGGGGGAUAACACAUCGAAAGGUGUGCUAAUACCGCAUACGACCUGAGGGUGAAAGCGGGGGAUCGCAAGACCUCGCGCGACAGGAGCGGCCGAUGUCGGAUUAGCUAGUUGGUGGGGUAAAGGCCUACCAAGGCGACGAUCCGUAGCUGGUCUGCGAGGACGACCAGCCACACUGGGACUGAGACACGGCCCAGACUCCUACGGGAGGCAGCAGUGGGGAAUUUUGGACAAUGGGCGCAAGCCUGAUCCAGCCAUUCCGCGUGAGUGAAGAAGGCCUUCGGGUUGUAAAGCUCUUUCGGCCGGGACGAAAUCGCACGGGUCAAUACCCUGUGUGGAUGACGGUACUGGAAGAAGAAGCACCGGCUAACUACGU